UGGGGAAUAUUGCACAAUGGGGGAAACCCUGAUGCAGCCAUGCCGCGUGUGUGAAGAAGGCCUUCGGGUUGUAAAGCACUUUCAGUUGUGAGGAAAAGUUAGUAGUUAAUACCUGCUAGCCGUGACGUUAACAACAGAAGAAGCACCGGCUAACUCCGUGCCAGCAGCCGCGGUAAUACGGAGGGUGCGAGCGUUAAUCGGAAUUACUGGGCGUAAAGCGCACGCAGGCGGUUUGUUAAGCUAGAUGUGAAAGCCCCGGGCUCAACCUGGGAUGGUCAUUUAGAACUGGCAGACUAGAGUCUUGGAGAGGGGAGUGGAAUUCCAGGUGUAGCGGUGAAAUGCGUAGAUAUCUGGAGGAACAUCAGUGGCGAAGGCGACUCCCUGGCCAAAGACUGACGCUCAUGUGCGAAAGUGUGGGUAGCGAACAGGAUUAGAUACCCUGGUAGUCCACACCGUAAACGCUGUCUACUAGCUGUGUGUGCCUUUAAGGCGUGCGUAGCGAAGCUAACGCGCUAAGUAGACCGCCUGGGGAGUACGGCCGCGAGGUUA
This 549-nucleotide ribosomal RNA is filed under the name uncultured Gammaproteobacteria bacterium. RNAcentral describes it as "bacterial SSU rRNA". It matches the Rfam family "Bacterial small subunit ribosomal RNA", at positions 355 to 896 of the family's 1533-position model. The record is from RNAcentral. Lineage: Bacteria; Pseudomonadati; Pseudomonadota; Gammaproteobacteria.